This 878-nucleotide long non-coding RNA is filed under the name Ananas comosus (pineapple). RNAcentral describes it as "long non-coding RNA (ACOM_LNC021040)". The record is from RNAcentral. Lineage: Eukaryota; Viridiplantae; Streptophyta; Magnoliopsida; Poales; Bromeliaceae.
GUCACGCCCCAAACCCGAGGCAUAACAGACGCCGCAUAUCUACUAAAUUAGUAAAUAUGCAAGGCUACAGAAUCAGAUAGAUAACAUGCAAAAGAUAAUCACAAAAUUUCGAUUAAAUCUAAAUAGUCAAAAGAUGAAACUAACAGUUCAGUUCCAACUAGUGUCAAAUGAAAUAUCAUAUAAGCAGAACUAAAGUUUAAUAUGCCAAGCAAACAGAAUUUGGUCUAAAGAUACUGUAAAUAACAAAUGUGGGUGCGAAGAAAUAACAAGUGAACGUAGAUAAACAAAUCAUUAUUUACGAAGUUCGAAACUCAUAUCUAAAUGCAAUAGAAAUAAGACGAAAGGGCUAGAAUCAGAUCUAGCUACAUCUAACGUUCACUCGCUCCUAGCCCCGCCCUGCGAAUUGGUCUCAGUACCUGGGUAAGCAACCAUACACCACAUUAGUCGGAUUAAGCAUACAAAUAAUUAAAUAUACAAAUUAAUUUAAGUGACUGGUUUUUAAUUUGCAAGGUUUCGAAAGUAAGAAUUAUCAAAAUUUAAAAAUUCAGAUCAAAUUGAAACUAUAAAUUUACAAAGCAUUUCUCUUUCAACAUAUAAACGAAGUAAACAUUAAGUCCCCGGCACUUAACUAUAUCAUAUGAUCCGUUGGCGAGAUCCAAAGACACCCAAAGGCGUAAACAAAACAGAGGCACCCGAAGGUGCAACAAAACAAAGGCGCGGAUAGGCGCAGGCACCCGAAGGCGCAAACAAAACAGAGGCGCGGAUAGGCGCAGGCACCCGAAGGCGCAAUACAAAGACGAAGCUUGCUUCUAUAACAAAAUACAUGUCGACAUGGCCAACAUAGCAUAGCAGAAUACCAGGAGACAUUAUAAUUCAAA